GGCGUGGCCAAGCGGUAAGGCAGCGGGUUUUGGUCCCGUUACUCGGAGGUUCGAAUCCUUCCGUCCCAGA
This 70-nucleotide transfer RNA is filed under the name Thaumatococcus daniellii. Its description in RNAcentral is "tRNA-Cys". It matches the Rfam family "tRNA". Rfam says of the family: Transfer RNA (tRNA) molecules are approximately 80 nucleotides in length. Lineage: Eukaryota; Viridiplantae; Streptophyta; Magnoliopsida; Zingiberales; Marantaceae. The record is from RNAcentral. RNAcentral also lists the same sequence under 22 other names.